AAGUCGUAACAAGGUUUCCGUAGGUGAACCUGCGGAAGGAUCAUUAUUAAAUAGUUACUUCGGUAACUUUAAUAUCCCUAACACCUGUGCAUUUUGUCGCUCCGGCGAUAUCAUACAAACAUCAGUGUAAUGAAUGUAAAUUAUUAUAACAAAUACAACUUUCAACAACGGAUCUCUUGGCUCUC
This 185-nucleotide unclassified non-coding RNA is filed under the name Hannaella phetchabunensis. Its description in RNAcentral is "partial internal transcribed spacer region". The stretch from base 1 to 46 matches the Rfam family "Eukaryotic small subunit ribosomal RNA", at positions 1786 to 1831 of the family's 1831-position model. The record is from RNAcentral. Lineage: Eukaryota; Fungi; Basidiomycota; Tremellomycetes; Tremellales; Bulleribasidiaceae.